GGGGGGCGAUGGGAGAAGGGGAGAGAGAGGAAAGGGGGGAGAGAGAGGGAUGGGAGAAGGGGAAAGACAGGAAAGGGGGAGAGAGGGCGAUGAGAGAUAGAGAGAGAGGGAAGGGGGGAGAGAAAGGGAUGGGAGAAGGAGAGAGAGGGAAGAUGGACAAAUAAAAUGACAGGAAAUACUCAACGUGUUUAACCUUUUUUGUUGCAGAAUGGCACUGAGGAAACUGUUAGACUCACGGCCAGCCUCCCCCUACGUGAAGCUCCCGCCGCUCCAAAUAAUUUUUUUAAAAAUUGAGGACUCCCCAAAAGUGGUGGCCUGGAAUUUCGAGGAGUCAACUGCAAGCCCAACCUGCGUUAAAAACAACAAGACAGCAAUAAUUAGUGAUGGGGAUUCCCUCACUAAAAUCACACUUUUCGAAGCUCUGGCAGGGAGAGUGGAAGAGGGGGGGACAUAUUUUAUGAGGGGCUACACCCUGUUUGGCAAGUCCCCUCCUUUCACCAUCAAUGUAGGGAGUGGUACUCAAUUUUUCCAGGGCAGCAAGAUCGACUGCCCCGGAGAACUCCAUACAAGAGCCGAGGCCCUGCUGCACCCUAGCUCGCCUCUGGUGGAACUCCAUCAUUGCUGGGCGCAGCAGGGCCUGAUGUCCUUAGAGGGAGUGAUCGCUGAGGUCAGUAUGAGCUCCUAUAGUACAGCCAUGGAUCUGGGAAAUUAAAAACAUCACAAAUAACAAAGAAAAAAAGAUUGCAUUUUCAAGUAUACAAAGUACUAAUACAGAAUUUCCUUCUGUUUAGCUGUCUGCAGUGAGAAAAGCGCAGUCUGGGAAAGAGCCUGUGCCAGUCAGGAAAAUUGUCCUGAAGCAGGUAACUGCAGCUGUGAAAAUUUUUGGUACACUUCUGUUCUAGAAAGAAAAAGUCAUAUAAGUCACUAAAAGAACCUGAAAAUGAGAAAAGUAAUAGUGAAUAAAAAAUCAAUAAAAAUGUCUGUGUAUAUACGGUAUCUCACAAGAGUGAGUAGACCCCUCACUUUUCUGCAAAUAUUUAAUUAGAUCUUUUAAUGGGAUAUAACUACAGAAAUGACACUUUGAUACCAUGUAUAGUUGUCAGUGUACAGCUUGUGUAACUGUAAAAUUACUGUGCCCUCAAAAUAACUCAACAAAGAGCCAUUAAUGUGUACACCCCUGGCAACAAAAGUCUGAGCACUGACAGGCUAACCCCCCACCCCUUCAACUCCUGCAGCAAUGCUAGCAGCACUCAAACAUCUAUUUUCCGAAGACAACUUCUGGAUAUGACGCUGAGCACAUGCACUCAACCUCUUAGGUCGACCAUGGUGAGGUUCUGGGUGGUUCCUGUCCCAUUUAACAGCUGUGUGGUCUUGGCCACUGUGCUGCAGCUCAGUUUCAGGGUGUUGGCAAUCUUCUUAUAGCCUAGGCCAACUUCAUGUAGAGCCACAAAUUCUGUUUUUAGAUCCUCAGAGAGUUCUUUGCCAUGAGGUGCCAUGAUAAACUUCCAGUGACCAGUAAGAGAGGGUGUAGGACAGAUGACACCAAAUUUAACACAGCUGCACCCCAUUCACACCUGAGAGCUCGUAAUACUAAUAAGUGACAUGACAUAGGGGAGGGAAAAUGGCUAAUUGGGCCCAAUUUGGAUAUUUUCACUGAGUGGUGUACUGACUUUUGUUGCCAGGGGUGUACACAUUAAUGGCUCUGUGUUGAGUUAUUUUGAGGGCACAGUAAUUCUACACUGUUACACAAGCUGUACUCUGACUAAUGUCUGUUGUGUCAAAGUGUCAUCUCUUUAGUUUUGUCCCAUGAAAAUAUAUAACAUUUGCAGAAAUGUGAGGGGUCUACUCGCUUUUGUGAGAUACUGCACACUGUUAACAUUUACAUAAUGUAUGAAUCAUGAUGAAAUAACUCUUGAAUUAAUGCAGAUGUGUCAUUUUGCCUUUUCUUACUUCACACUAAUGAGCCUGUCACUUUGAAGUCACGUGAUUAGUUCACACUCAACAGAUCAUUGAAUGAUGCUUAUUUACAGUCAAUUCAUACAUGCAUUGAUGUGACUACAUCAACUUGAUAUCAAAUUUCCCCUUGAGGAUUCAUAAAGUUUUUCUUAUCUUAUCGUUCUCAUAAAUUAAUGCUUAGUUUAGCAUCAUGCAUUUGCUCAGCCCUUCAGGUUUAAAUGAGACAAGAGCCUGUGGUAAUUUAAGUGUUACAUGUAUUGGGACAACAGGCAAUAAGAUGUUCCCUUAUGUUUUACAGGACACAACUACAAUUAAGGUCUCCCUGUGGAGGGAGGCAGCAGUGGAGCCCCUCAUCGUCGGGGAGACCAUAAAAGUGAC
Non-coding RNA from Xyrichtys novacula (pearly razorfish), 2334 nucleotides. The record is from the annotation of a GenBank genome assembly. NCBI's taxonomy places the organism in Eukaryota, Metazoa, Chordata, Actinopteri, Labriformes, Labridae.